This 724-nucleotide long non-coding RNA is filed under the name Takifugu rubripes (torafugu). Its description in RNAcentral is "lncRNA (ENSTRUG00000029086.1)". The record is from RNAcentral. Lineage: Eukaryota; Metazoa; Chordata; Actinopteri; Tetraodontiformes; Tetraodontidae.
GAACAUACAAUAUGUGUACAAAAGGCAGCCCAAGGAGUUAAAACGGCAGCCGCGCUGCCACCCCGAGGCCCUGAGAAUGAUAAAUGCUCAUCUCUGAUUUCUCAAAGCUCUCAAUCCACACACACACACACACACACGCACGCAUAUUCUCCUCUUUUUUAGAACUUUCUUUAUACAUAUAUCAUGACUUACUUUCAGGCUGGGCUGGACACUGACUUCUGACCCCACUGACCUACUCAGCGAGGUUUAUCUGUGUCCGACAGGUAUCGGACCCCUGAUCUUCUGCUGCACAUCUGUUUGACUGCUUGGAUUUUUCCUUACCUGUAGAAACACGACCGUCUCAACAAGGUUCCACCAAAGGUUCGAAGUACAUGUAAACACACGGGUUCAUCCCGGUAACCCCAGUUUGUCAAAGGCGAUGCAUUCAAAGAAACAUCGGGAACCAUCACUAAAGGAAUGGACGGCGGGAGGAAACUUUGGUACCUGGGGGAACAUGCCAACUCCGCAGGGAAGGAGCCAGAAUCAAACCCAGAACCAGCGACUGGGCCCACCACAGAGGCUGCGGUGACGCCUCUUUCUCUUCACCCUAUCUCUAUCAGCCAGCACAGAAAGCGCAUUUCGUCAAACAUGCUUUAUUGUUGAAGAAAAAGAAGAAAAAAGAUUAAAUAUAUGUGAGAAUUUUUCGAAACGCUGACUUGGCCUCAGUGAAUGCCCAGACCUUCAC